AGCAGCCGCGGUAAUUCCAGCUCCAAUAGCGUAUAUUAAAGUUGUUGCAGUUAAAAAGCUCGUAGUUGAAUUUCGGGGUUAGUAGGUUGGUCAUGCCUCUGGUAUGUACUGGUCUCACUGAUUCCUCCUUCCUGAUGAGCCGUAAUGCCAUUAAUUUGGUGUUGCGGGGAAUUUGGACUGUUACUUUGAAGAAAUUAGAGUGUUUAAAGCAAGCUAACGCUUGAAUACAUUAGCAUGGAAUAAUGAAAUAGGACGUUCGAUCCUAUUUUGUUGGUUUCUAGGAUUGACGUAAUGAUUAAUAGGGAUAGUUGGGGGCAUUAGUAUUCAAUUGUCAGAGGUGAAAUUCUUGGAUUUAUUGAAGACUAACUACUGCGAAAGCAUUUGCCAAGGAUGUUUUCAUUAAUCAAGAACGAAAGUUAGGGGAUCGAAGACGAUCAGAUACCGUCGUAGUCUUAACCAUAAACUAUGCCGACUAGGGAUCGGAUGAUGUUAAU
RNAcentral lists this unclassified non-coding RNA (494 nucleotides) under uncultured Glomus. Its description in RNAcentral is "SSU rRNA". It matches the Rfam family "Eukaryotic small subunit ribosomal RNA", at positions 569 to 1067 of the family's 1831-position model. The record is from RNAcentral. Lineage: Eukaryota; Fungi; Glomeromycota; Glomeromycetes; Glomerales; Glomeraceae.